AUUGAACGCUGGCGGCAGGCCUAACACAUGCAAGUCGAACGGUAACAGGAAGCAGCUUGCUGCUUCGCUGACGAGUGGCGGACGGGUGAGUAAUGUCUGGGAAACUGCCUGAUGGAGGGGGAUAACUACUGGAAACGGUAGCUAAUACCGCAUAACGUCGCAAGACCAAAGAGGGGGACCUUCGGGCCUCUUGCCAUCGGAUGUGCCCAGAUGGGAUUAGCUAGUAGGUGGGGUAACGGCUCACCUAGGCGACGAUCCCUAGCUGGUCUGAGAGGAUGACCAGCCACACUGGAACUGAGACACGGUCCAGACUCCUACGGGAGGCAGCAGUGGGGAAUAUUGCACAAUGGGCGCAAGCCUGAUGCAGCCAUGCCGCGUGUAUGAAGAAGGCCUUCGGGUUGUAAAGUACUUUCAGCGGGGAGGAAGGCGAUAAGGUUAAUAACCUUGUCGAUUGACGUUACCCGCAGAAGAAGCACCGGCUAACUCCGUGCCAGCCGCCGCGGUAA
RNAcentral lists this ribosomal RNA (506 nucleotides) under uncultured bacterium. Its description in RNAcentral is "partial 16S ribosomal RNA". It matches the Rfam family "Bacterial small subunit ribosomal RNA", at positions 30 to 523 of the family's 1533-position model. The record is from RNAcentral.